AUACGUAGGGGGCAAGCGUUGUCCGGAAUUACUGGGCGUAAAGGGCGUGUAGGCGGUUUUUUAAGUUAGGAGUGAAAACUCGAGGCUUAACCUCGAGAGUGCUUCUAAAACUGGGAGACUUGAGUGCAGGAGAGGAAGGUAGUAUUCCUGGUGUAGCGGUGAAAUGCGUAGAUAUCAGGAGGAAUACUCGUGGCGAAGGCGGCCUUCUGGCCUGUAACUGACGCUGAGGCGCGAAAGCGUGGGGAGCAAACAGGAUUAGAUACCCUGGUAGUCCACGCCGUAAACGAUGAGUGCUAAGUGUUGGAGGUAUCGACCCCUUCAGUGCUGCAGUUAACGCAUUAAGCACUCCGCCUGGGGAGUACGGUCGCAAGACUGAA
RNAcentral lists this ribosomal RNA (377 nucleotides) under uncultured bacterium. RNAcentral describes it as "bacterial SSU rRNA". It matches the Rfam family "Bacterial small subunit ribosomal RNA", at positions 523 to 898 of the family's 1533-position model. The record is from RNAcentral.